UGCUGGAGAGCACGUCUUGCCAACUGCCGUCGACCGGGUCUCCUCGCCUCUCGAUCUCUAGCCGGAAUGGCCUCAUGCCUUUUAUAGGAAUUGGCCUCGCGGACGACAACAUCGUGGACGAGCAGGAUGUUUCUGCUCCUGUUCUUCCACGCGCCAGGCUUUAACGGAAAACACCGGUUCGCAGAACUCCGCCAUCAGAUGUCUGCUCGUCAUUCCUGGUCCCUUCGACGCAUUUGUCCCAAACAGUAUCCCUCCCAAACACCGGUCCCCCAGUUUCUGGUGUUGGGUAAUGUAGUGGACCAGCAGUAGAAACUCGAUAGUACUCGCUCGCGUGGGUUUGGAAAAGGCUGCCAGGAGUCAUGUCGCAUUUAAUUGCGGACGAGGUGACGUGGCAGAAAUCCCCCCCUCCAUUUGAAUUUCAAACCGACGGUUACGGGAUUCUCGGAAUAUGCGUCAUUAAAUGCUGGCAGCCCAAGAGUUUGCUUCUCAGUAAGGAAACCCAAAAUCUUCAAACACGAACUCGUCAUUUUCUCCAUUCUUGUCUCUCCGGCGAAUGAACCUCGGCGCCAAAGCUGUCAUCCCUGUCUCUCUCUGACCGAGUCCCUGCUUCAGGUAUUUCUUCUAUUUUUUUUCGGUAUUGGUUAGUUGUAGGUAAUUUCCUUUCUCUCUGCUUUGCUUGAGGUUGUAGUUGGCGGUGGUGUUUUGGUUAGAACUUAGGAUAUGUCGAAGGGUAAGGAGAAGGUCGUUGAGGUUGGUGACGACGAACUAGGUUUUUUGCCUAGUCUGCCCGCUGAUUUUGCUUUUGAUCCCG
Molecule: long non-coding RNA, 811 nt
Filed under: Citrus sinensis (sweet orange)
Lineage: Eukaryota; Viridiplantae; Streptophyta; Magnoliopsida; Sapindales; Rutaceae
Description: long non-coding RNA (CSIN_LNC000057)
Source: RNAcentral